UACGUAGGGGGCAAGCGUUGUCCGGAAUCAUUGGGCGUAAAGCGCGCGUAGGCGGCCCGGUAAGUCCGCUGUGAAAGUCAAAGGCUCAACCUUUGAAUGUCAGCGGAUACUGCCGGGCUAGAGUCCGGAAGAGGCGAGUGGAACUCCUGGUGUAGCGGUGGAAUGCGCAGAUAUCAGGAAGAACACCAACGGCGAAGGCAGCGCGCUGGGACGGAACUGACGCUGAGGCGCGAAAGCGUGGGGAGCGAACAGG
RNAcentral lists this ribosomal RNA (253 nucleotides) under uncultured bacterium. Its description in RNAcentral is "partial 16S ribosomal RNA". It matches the Rfam family "Bacterial small subunit ribosomal RNA", at positions 524 to 776 of the family's 1533-position model. The record is from RNAcentral.